This is a long non-coding RNA of Orcinus orca (killer whale), 3142 nucleotides long. RefSeq lists it as uncharacterized. NCBI's taxonomy places the organism in Eukaryota, Metazoa, Chordata, Mammalia, Artiodactyla, Delphinidae. The record is from RefSeq and is a predicted model, not a curated record. The transcript is spliced from 3 exons.
UCAGAGGCCAGACACACAGGCACACUAGAUAGCGGCCUCCUCUGGCUUGUUGAUGCUGCUUAAGCUGUAACAGCCUCUCGUGGAAGACUGAGCGAAGCAUUUAACAGUGAUGGCUUUGGGAUUUCAGUUGCAAGUGGUCAUGCUAUAUUAUCUUGCAAAAUAUGGAAUAAUCGCCCAUGAUAUACUGAGCAUGUAUAAAAUUGGACCUCAGGUUUGCAUCGUUUUGGUUUGAAUGUGAAGAACUGGGUAUUUUACUCUUUUCUCUUUAGGCAUUCAUUAUGUUAUUUGCAAAUUAUUUCCAAGGGAAAAUUAGGCUUCUAAGGUAUAAAGAGCUGAUUUCAUUGAAUCAGAAGAACAUGGUUUGGGAUCAUCAGAGAAAGUGAGUUGCUCUCACACUUCUUUAACGAUUUUGAAAUCUAAGAUGAAUUUUUUAAAAACAGGCAAAGAAGAGACAUGUUCCAUAGCAGUACAAACUGUGAUAAAAUUGCUUAGACUUUCUGAGAUGAGUUCUUUUAAGUAAAGUGGACAUCCAGUGGGGAGCAGGGUAGGAGCUGCAUUGUGUACGGAUCAGGAAACACAGGGCACAUGACUUGGUUACUUCCAGAGACUCUGAUUUGAUCUAGAGCCCCAGUUUAUUUUCAAAAGUACCCAUUAUUAUUCAUCAUAUCUAGCCCCAUAUUCAGAACGAAUUGACUAUAGGAAUCUAUAUGUAUAUUUGUGAUGAAUAAGUGACAAAACGAAGUCACUUAACGAGAAUUUGGCAGUUGCUGAGUCUCACAUUUGUAAAGUCUGCUUUAGUCUGUAGUUUCUGCAUGAAAUGUCCAUUGAGUUGCAAUUCUUUUUUUCUUUUUUUUUGCGGUACGCGGGCCUCUCACUGUUGUGGCCUCUCCCGUUGCGGAGCACAGGCUCCGGACGCGCAGGCUCAGCGGCCAUGGCUCACGGGCCCAGCCGCUCUGCGGCAUGUGGGAUCCUCCCAGACCGGGGCACGAACCCGUGUCCCCUGCAUCGGCAGGCGGACUCUCAACCACUGCGCCACCAGGGAAGCCCGAGUUGCAAUUCUUGACUGUUUCCAUCCUUUCACCACCAAGAGUUCCCUUUUGUUUUUCUCUCUAUGGACCCCAGAUUUUGUCAAGAAAAAAAUUAAGCAGUGAUCUUUUUUUAUUAGGCAAAGAUAUAACUAUGUGUUUUAAAAGUAGUAACCAUCAAUUAUAAAUGGUUUGUCAGCCUUUGAAAAACAUUGCUUAUAAUUUAAGGAUCCUCUUUACUGUCUUCAUGAACUGCUCUAGGACUGCAGGCUGUAUCAUAUGCUUAUUAUAACAUUUUAUUACAAUGAAAGUCAAGGUAGAAUAAAGAUUUCUGCUCUACAGUUUAAAGAGGAAGAAAAUUCCCCCUUAAUGAUUGUUCAUUUAUUCUUUUUCAUUAACUCAGCAUUUAUUGAUUUGCCUAAGCCUUGUCUUUAUAGAGAAAUCCAAAGAAAUAAAACCAUUUCCUCAUCCUCUAGAUCUGUGCUGUCCAAUACAGUACCCACUAGCCACAUGUGGCCAUUUAAAUUGAAACUAAAUUAAAUUUAAAAUGUAGUUUUUCAUUUCACUAGCCACAUUUCAAGUGCUAAAGAGCCACACGUGGCUAGAGACUACUCAUUGGACAGCAUGGAAUAGAGCAUUUCCGUUAUGGCCAGAAAUUCUUCUGGAUAGCACUGCUCUAACUACAAGGUGAAAUUUUAAUUGGGAGAAUAAGAUAUAGUAUAUAAAGUUAUUGGGGAAAUCUUAGUACACUACAGAUCAAACCUCAUUAGAAUGUGUACUUCUUAAGAACAGGGUAAUCUCUAAGAGUUCGGGCUCUGGCUUCAGACUGUGGCUCCAUCACAUGCUGACCUUGGGUAAAUUACUUAACCUCUGUAUCUGUAAGAGGGGGAUGAUAAUAGUACCAAAUUUCAGGGUGGAUAUAGGGAUUAAAUGAGAUAAUCUGUGAAUGACGCUUAGGCUAAAGUCUAGAACGUGACCUUCAAGAAAAGUUAGGUAUUUUUAUAGCAAUAUACAUUAUUAUAAUAAAGGUUUUCUUUUUAAAAAAUUGUAUCCUUGGCACCCCUCACUGUACUUAGCUAAUAGAAAAUGCUUGGUAAAUGCUGAGUUGAUGAAAAAUUGUAAUGCUACACUGAUUUUAUGGAUAUGAGGGCCUCUAUUAAAAAUGAAAACUGAUCUUUCUAUCUCUGUUGAAGGGUAGAGGCCAUUUUAGUGGAAUUUAGGCAGAAUUGUCAUCUCACUUUUUCUGGGGUAAAGAAAGCUGUAUGAUGAGACUUUGGGGGUAGACAGAAGCACAAAGGCCUUCAGCUCUUAAAGGAAGAAAAGAGGGUCACUUGCCCUCCUUUUUUUUGCUCUUCAGGGCAGGAAUUGGAUAGUGGGAGACAACUGGAUCCCUGAGUUCAGGCAUCAGGUGUUCACCCAAGGGACUUCCUGGAGGAGCACUGGUAACCUCUCAUGAAACUGGAGUUCCAGAAACACUGGCAAAUACUGCUGCAACACCUUGUCAAAAUGAAAGCUUCCUUAUUCUUCUACCACCACCACGAUAAGCUACAGCGGCGGUCUCCAAACUUUUUGGCACCAGGGACCGGUUUUACAGAAGACAAUUUUUCCACGGACCGGGUGGGAGUGGGGGAAGAGAUGGUUCAGUGGUAAUGUGAGCGAUGGGGGACCAUGGGGAGCCGCCGAUGAAGCUCCACUGUCUGCAGCUCACCUCCUGCUGUGCGGCCCGUUUCCUAACGGGGGGGUUGGGGACCCCCGAGCUACAGGACUGCUGUAUCACUCCUACAAAGGUACCACACCUACCCUUUUACAGUCACCUCCAUCCUCCUCCCCACCCCAUCUAAUUCCUGUCAAUCACUAAUAUGUUCUCAUCUCUAUCAUUUCAAAAAUUCUAGAUAAAUGGAAUCAUCCAGUGUAUAACCUUUUGGAUUGGCUUUUUUUUUUUUAAUUCAGCAUAAUUCCCUUGGGAUCUAUCCAAGUUGUUAUAUGUAUCAAUAGUUUGUUCUUUUUUUUGAGAAAUAUUCCAUGGUAUGUGUGUCCCACAGUUUAACCAUUCACCCACUGAAGGAUGUUUCCGUUGUUUCCAGUUUAGGCUAUUAUGAAUAAAGCUACUAUAAACA